GCUGGGCGAGUUUUUUGAAUACCUGGAUGUAUGUAGUUUUGUAUAUGGAACUUGUUCCUGUUUAUACCUAUUUUAUUCCAGCAGCUCUAUACUACUGGUUGUAGUACUGUAUAUGUUACAGGUACAGCUACGCUUCGUAUACAAGGGAAAUUCCUUUGUGUACGGCGGAUUUUUCGACGUGCCCGGAAAACGUGUAAUUCGGGGCGUGACAAAAUGUUUAAAUUGAAUACUACUAAAUUAAUAUUUUCAAAAUAAUGUACAAAUAUACUUAAUUUGUAAUUAAUUUAUUCUAAUACUUAAUUUAUUAAAUCAUAUUUAAUUAUUAUAUUCAAGGACAAAUUUAUCAUUCUAUUUACUUUUUAUAUUUUCAACAUCUUAUUCCAAAAUAAACAUUCAAUCACUAUCAAGAAUAUUCUCUAUAAAUAAACCAACAACAAUCAAACGUAAUUUACAACUUGUUCUAGUUUAUACUCGAAUAUCUCUUGUUCUCAAAAACAACAAAAGAUAUUCUUCAAAAUUUAGUUCUCAAACCAAACUAAUAUUUCUACAAAUCUUGAAAAGACAAAAAUGAGAGAAAAGAAGAAAAGAGAGCAUAUGGGAGGAAUGGAGAAAGUGCCAUGUAUAUCUUUAGAACCGUCAAUUAAUAGAUUUGUAUG
This 656-nucleotide long non-coding RNA is filed under the name Ananas comosus (pineapple). RNAcentral describes it as "long non-coding RNA (ACOM_LNC004933)". The record is from RNAcentral. Lineage: Eukaryota; Viridiplantae; Streptophyta; Magnoliopsida; Poales; Bromeliaceae.